UAAAUGUGUAUUUAGACAAAUGGAGCUAUUUAUUUUGGUUCAACACCCUUUUUUUCUCCUUCAGUGUUGAAAAAGAAAGUAUGCUGUGUGGUUAUCUUGGAGGCCUCAUGAGUUUGGCCUGACAUCUCAGCUGUCCUUUGACCCCUGCAGCCACUGCAGCAGAAACCUACUGGCAGCCUCCUGCCUCAGCUCCUCCCAGGGCUUCUUGUUUUCUGCCCUGAAAAUGUCUACUUGGCACUCAGGCUGCAAUUAUGAGGCAUUGAGAAUGCACCUGACAGUUGGGCUGUCACCUCAUUUUAAAGCCUGCAGUCCAACAAAUCUUCAAUCUCCUUUUGUGAUUGCAGAGACAGGUGAGGAGCAAACAGGGGUCAAAGAACAGAGAUCCCAUCUGGGGCAUUUGAAGUUGUAUUGUUAUUUUCAUCGAUCAAAAUAUAUUCUCUUUGCGUGAACUACAGGCGUGUGGUCCAUGGUUGGAUUUCCACUGACUGCCAGGCCCCGCCUGCAUCACACAGACGUCACUGAGGCAGCUCGGGGUCCGUGUGGUCCUGAGCUGGGACUCAGCGCACCGAGAGGAUGACAGCGAUUCGACAGCUGCCAAAGGAGGGCCUGAGCAGGGGAAACCUUUCCAUCAGGCUAAUGAAACCUGUCAGCAACAGCAGGGACCCAGAUCCUGAUCUCCCAGAAUGCAAGAGGAGUGGAAAAGCAGCCAACUGGAGGAAGGAGGGGGAGGGAUAGGAAGAAGCAAAGAAUUCUUCAUCACACCCAGUUCUAGCAGGGGGAGCAGGAGUCUGGCCGGAGGCUGUCAUGAAACAAGAGAAAAUUAAAGUAUGGUACAAGAGUUGGCAAACUGCUGACUUUGUACUCUGGACAUGACUUCUAGGGUACACCUUCUCUAGAGACUGGUGGCAGAAGUGGGUUUGCUUAAGCUUCAGGGCCCCUCUGCCCUCUGCCCUUUCUAAUGCCUUGGGAGGGAAGGCCCUAGCAAGGCGUUCUGAGGCCUUGAGUUUUUGUGGACUCUGGAGUAGGAUGCUUUAACUGCAGUCCACUAAGCCUGCUAUGUCUCUCCACCUCGAUUUCCUUCAUGGACAGUUUUGGGAUUUGCUAAAGGAGGUUGAGUUAGGAAUACAUCAUAUUAACUGCAAUUUAGAAAGAUGUUUUGGAACAUUACAAUUACAAAGAAACAUAUAAGAAGGUAUAAACUCCUAUUUAGAUGUAUAUAAAGGGUAGCUUAUUUUACAUUAUUUAAACUCAUUUAUUUAGAAAAGGAGAGAAAGCUCAGCUAAACAUUAGUGGAGUAUGAAAUGAAAGAGUUAAGACAAGCGAUUAAGUCGAUAGAAGUUAUUUUGACACAGAGUUGGAAAGCAUAACACAAAACUUUCGGAUCAUACUGAAUCCAGUCAUUUCUAUGAGGAGGGGACAUUCUAUCAAGAGGAAUAAAUGGCAUUUGUAUUGUUUGAAAAUCUGAUUAAUUAAGAGCUGUGAAUGAUAUGAACUCAGUGGAAAAUAAUUUUAAAUUCAUAUGAAUUAAACAUGAAAUAUUGGCAUUGAUAAGGAGAAUAUUAAACUCUUAAUACUCCAAUACAAUGAGGACACGGAUGACAGGCUGGCUUUUGAAUACUGUCAGUUCAAAAACAUUUACAGAAAAAAAAAGACCCUAAAAUACCCUGUGUAUUAAAAUACAGUGUGUAUAUGAGAUAAACUUGUUAGUGCUUCCUUCAAAUUGGAUGAAAUCCAAGAGAGUUCUAACACAUGACUAAUAACUAAUUGCAAAGUUGAAAAGGACUUCUCUAAAUUAUUAAUAACUGAAGAAUUUCAAUGAAGCAUACUUGAUA
RNAcentral lists this long non-coding RNA (1832 nucleotides) under Canis lupus familiaris (dog). RNAcentral describes it as "lncRNA (ENSCAFG00000057965.1)". The record is from RNAcentral. Lineage: Eukaryota; Metazoa; Chordata; Mammalia; Carnivora; Canidae.